This is a long non-coding RNA of Daphnia carinata, 1083 nucleotides long. RefSeq lists it as uncharacterized. The transcript has 5 exons. The record is from RefSeq and is a predicted model, not a curated record. NCBI's taxonomy places the organism in Eukaryota, Metazoa, Arthropoda, Branchiopoda, Diplostraca, Daphniidae.
AAAAUUUUUAAAGAAAACCUUUUCCGUUACAAUGAAACGGGCAAACCAUUAAAACUGAUGAAGCAGUAUCUUUUUUCCACUUAAAUAUUUUUGGACGUCAUUUGGCAACACGGUGCUUAUUUUUUAAUGUCACGUCGCCUGCUUUUGGUUCUGUUCGCUUCCUUCUUUCUAGAUGCCAACUUGUCUAAAAAGCGUGUAAAGCCGUUAGAUUUCUUUUUUGUUUGCAUUCUUCUCUGUUCGAAUAAAUAUCGAUUUUGCAUGAUGGAUUCCUGUCCUGAAACUGAGACAACCGCUUCCGUUCACCCAUAUUGCACGAUAGAGCUGGAGGCACUGGCUGGAUACCGACGGGGAAGAUCUCUCCAAAAGAAAGCUCAUGUGGCUUAGGGGUAUGUGGUACAUCUGUCAUGUGCGUGGAAUAUCUUGAGUACUUCAUCACCAACUCCCACCUUAAAUAGCCAUUAAUGAUGACGGGGAUAUUUUUAUAAUUCUCACCUCUCACCAGUGGAACUCCCACAUCGGUCAUGUGGCAAGAAUUAUUCGGAUUCCAUUCAACCAGUGACGCCAAGAAUCUUUAACCGUACGAAAAUUCCAGCGAAUGUUUCGCUAUACUCCGCAUAGGACUAAUUACCAGCAGCAAAACCAAGGAGCCGGCCAAAUAAUUUCUAGAGGAGGAGGCGACCAACCUCAUCAUCAACAUCUGUUGCUGUGGCCUAGCUUUUGUUUCGGGCCAAGGGAGAGCGAGAAAAAAAGGAUCCUAUACGACCAUUUCCUGUGUGGCGAGUUAAUGUAUGUGCGCGACCUAAAAUGCGUCCAUUGGUUGCGAAAACAAAUGCAAGGAAAUCUCAGCUGCAUCAUGAUUAUUUUUGUUUGUUUGCUGUUUGGUUCUGAAAGGAUUGUAAAAGUAAAAAAAUCCUUACAAGAACAGCAAACAUUUUAUUGGCGUCAAAUGUCGAUAUUUUCUUAAAAAGGAAAAAAAAAAAAAUUACGGAGUAACAACGUAUCCCAUCUGGCGAGCGGUUUUAGCAACGAGCCCAUCCAAUUGUUUUGGUUCAAACUAAAAGACGAGCGAAGAAGUAAAAGAAA